GAUGAAGAACGCAGCGAAAUGCGAUACGUAAUGUGAAUUGCAGAAUUCAGUGAAUCAUCGAGUCUUUGAACGCACAUUGCGCCCCCUGGUAUUCCGGGGGGCAUGCCUGUCCGAGCGUCAUUGCUGCCCUCAAGCACGGCUUGUGUGUUGGGCCUCCGUCCUCCUCCCGGGGGCCGGGCCCGAAAGGCAGCGGCGGCACCGCGUCCGGUCCUCGAGCGUAUGGGGCUUCGUCACCCGCUCUUGUAGGCCCGGCCGGCGCUUGCCGACACAUCAAUCUUUUUUCCAGGUUGACCUCGGAUCAGGUAGGGAUACCCGCUGAACUUAAGCAUAUCAAUAAGCGGAGGA
RNAcentral lists this unclassified non-coding RNA (345 nucleotides) under soil metagenome. Its description in RNAcentral is "partial contains 5.8S ribosomal RNA, internal transcribed spacer 2, and large subunit ribosomal RNA". The stretch from base 1 to 120 matches the Rfam family "5.8S ribosomal RNA", at positions 35 to 154 of the family's 154-position model. The record is from RNAcentral.